AGGUGGAGCACGCAGCCUCGGAGGGGUGAAGUCGCAGGCCGAUGAGCAGUCUGAGAAGGCGCUGUGCGGGCCACCUUUGGAAUGGGAUGAGCGUUUGAGGUGCCAUGAGAGACGAUGGCUGCAGGGUCUGACUCUGGAAUGAGCAGAUGAUGAAGAGGAACCGGGUGACUGCCGGAUCAUCCCAGUUAGCCCGUGUGAUUUUUGGGGAGGAUGGAUUCAUACUCUUGGCCCUCUGAAAGU
Molecule: long non-coding RNA, 240 nt
Organism: Harpia harpyja (harpy eagle)
Lineage: Eukaryota; Metazoa; Chordata; Aves; Accipitriformes; Accipitridae
Exons: 4
Source: RefSeq, a predicted model, not a curated record